CUUGGGCGUCAGCCUGAGUGGAGUCAUCCUUGGGAUACCACCCUGACAGUACUGGGGUUCUAACCGGCGGCCAUGAAUCUGGUCACGGGACAUUGUUAGGUGGGCAGUUUGACGGGGGCGGUCGCCUCCUAAAAAGUAACGGAGGCGCCCAAAAGUUCCCUCAGCGCGGUCGGAAAUCGCGCGAAGAGUGCAAAGGCAGAAGGGAGCUUGACUGCGACACAUACAGGUGGAGCAGGGACGA
Molecule: ribosomal RNA, 241 nt
Filed under: Clostridium botulinum
Lineage: Bacteria; Bacillati; Bacillota; Clostridia; Eubacteriales; Clostridiaceae
Description: partial 23S ribosomal RNA
Rfam family: Bacterial large subunit ribosomal RNA
Source: RNAcentral